Non-coding RNA from Pelobates cultripes (western spadefoot toad), 889 nucleotides. The record is from the annotation of a GenBank genome assembly. Lineage: Eukaryota; Metazoa; Chordata; Amphibia; Anura; Pelobatidae.
GCUGGGGGGAGGAUCUCAUUCGAUGGCUGCCAGGUAUGAGAGAGAAUACAGAGACCUGCUAUACAGAGAGUGAGAGAGAGACUGGAAUAAUGUGUAAUAACCAGCCCUGGAUACAGAGAGAGAGAGAGACUGGAAUAAUGUGUAAUAACCAGCCCUGGAUACAGAGAGAGAGAGAGAGACUGGAAUAAUGUGUAAUAACCAGCCCUGGAUACAGAGAGAGAGAGAGAGACUGGAAUAAUGUGUAAUAACCAGCCCUGGAUACAGAGAGAGAGAGAGACUGGAAUAAUGUGUAAUAACCAGCCCUGGAUACAGAGAGAGAGAGAGACUGGAAUAAUGUGUAAUAACCAGCCCUGGAUACAGAGAGAGAGACUGGAAUAAUGUGUAAUAACCAGCCCUGGCUACAGAGAGAGAGAGACUGGAAUAAUGUGUAAUAACCAGCCCUGGAUACAGAGAGAGAGAGAGACUGGAAUAAUGUGUAAUAACCAGCCCUGGAUACAGAGUGAGAGAGAGACUGGAAUAAUGUGUAAUAACCAGCCCUGGCUACAGAGAGAGAGAGAGACUGGAAUAAUGUGUAAUAACCAGCCCUGGAUACAGAGUGAGAGAGAGACUGGAAUAAUGUGUAAUAACCAGCCCUGGAUACAGAGUGAGAGAGAGACUGGAAUAAUGUGUAAUAACCAGCCCUGGAUACAGAGAGAGAGAGAGACUGGAAUAAUGUGUAAUAACCAGCCCUGGAUACAGAGAGAGAGAGAGACUGGAAUAAUGUGUAAUAACCAGCCCUGGAUACAGAGAGAGAGAGAGACUGGAAUAAUGUGUAAUAACCAGCCCUGGCUACAGAGAGAGAGAGACUGGAAUAAUGUGUAAUAACCAGCCCCAUACAGAGAGAGAGAGA